CAAUAAUUGCGUGAAUUAGGGCUAGGACUCUCUUCGUCUUUCUCUCAAUUCUUCUUUCGUUUCUUCAAAUCAGACCCUAAUCCUAAGUACCAGCCAUGUCUUCCAAGCAAGGUGGAAAAGCAAAGCCUUUGAAGCAGCCCAAGGCUGAAAAGAAGGAUUACGAUGAGACUGAUACGGCAAACAUUCAGAAGAAAAAGGAAGAGGAAAAGGCACUUAAGGAGCUUAGGGCCAAGGCAGCACAGAAAGGAACUUUCGGAGGUUCUGGGCUCAAGAAGAGUGGAAAGAAAUGAGGGUUUUCAAACCCAUAUGAGAAUAGAAUAUAUUGAUUCAUGGCGAAUGAUUACGGAUUGUAUUAUGACAUCUUUUCUUUAGUGUUGGCUUGUGACAUCCUUUGCUUAACAUCACAUGAUGGUGUACUGUCAUGCUAAAUGCAUCUUAACCUUGAGUCAAUGUCAUUAUGUGAAACUCGAUGAAUCUUUCCUGCUCUUGUUUACGUUUCUUGUGCCAAAGUUACAUUUGUUUACAUUUAUUUUUAAUCAGACAUCACCGAAGAUUUCUAGGGAUGAAUCUUUUUUGGUGCUUCCUUGCAUUUAGUGUUGUGAAAUGGAAAUUCAUAAUACAAUCG
Molecule: unclassified non-coding RNA, 625 nt
Filed under: Hevea brasiliensis (rubber tree)
Lineage: Eukaryota; Viridiplantae; Streptophyta; Magnoliopsida; Malpighiales; Euphorbiaceae
Source: RNAcentral